This 440-nucleotide ribosomal RNA is filed under the name uncultured bacterium. RNAcentral's name for it is "bacterial SSU rRNA". It matches the Rfam family "Bacterial small subunit ribosomal RNA", at positions 338 to 790 of the family's 1533-position model. The record is from RNAcentral.
CCUACGGGUGGCAGCAGUGGGGAAUAUUGGACAAUGGGCGAAAGCCUGAUCCAGCAACGCCGCGUGAGGGAUGACGGCCUUCGGGUUGUAAACCUCUUUCAGCAGGGACGAAGCGCAAGUGACGGUACCUGCAGAAGAAGCACCGGCCAACUACGUGCCAGCAGCCGCGGUAAUACGUAGGGUGCGAGCGUUGUCCGGAAUUAUUGGGCGUAAAGGGCUCGUAGGCGGUCUGUUGCGUCGGGAGUGAAAACUCAGGGCUUAACCCUGAGCCUGCUUCCGAUACGGGCAGACUAGAGGUAUGCAGGGGAGAACGGAAUUCCUGGUGUAGCGGUGAAAUGCGCAGAUAUCAGGAGGAACACCGGUGGCGAAGGCGGUUCUCUGGGCAUUACCUGACGCUGAGGAGCGAAAGUGUGGGGAGCGAACAGGAUUAGAUACCCUUG